Molecule: ribosomal RNA, 874 nt
Filed under: uncultured bacterium
Lineage: Bacteria
Description: bacterial SSU rRNA
Rfam family: Bacterial small subunit ribosomal RNA
Source: RNAcentral
GAUGAACGCUAGCGGCAGGCUUAAUACAUGCAAGUCGAGGGGCAGCAGGACUGUAGCAAUACAGUUGCUGGCGACCGGCAAACGGGUGCGGAACACGUACGCAACUUACCCAAAACUGGGGAAUAGCCCGGGGAAACCCGGAUUAAUACCUCGUAACAUAAUGAAGUGGCAUCACUUUAUUAUUAUAGCUCCGGCGGUUUUGGAUGGGCGUGCGCCUGAUUAGGUAGUUGGCGGGGUAACGGCCCACCAAGCCUACGAUCAGUAACUGGUGUGAGAGCACGACCAGUCACACGGGCACUGAGACACGGGCCCGACUCCUACGGGAGGCAGCAGUAAGGAAUAUUGGUCAAUGGACGCAAGUCUGAACCAGCCAUGCCGCGUGAAGGAUGAAGGUCCUCUGGAUUGUAAACUUCUUUUAUAUGGGAAGAAAUCCAUCUUUUUUUGGGUGGUUGACGGUACCAUAGGAAUAAGCACCGGCUAACUCCGUGCCAGCAGCCGCGGUAAUACGGAGGGUGCAAGCGUUAUCCGGAUUCACUGGGUUUAAAGGGUGCGUAGGAGGGCAGGUAAGUCAGUGGUGAAAUCUCCAAGCUUAACUUGGAAACUGCCGUUGAUACUAUCUGUCUUGAAUACCGUGGAGGUGAGCGGAAUAUGUCAUGUAGCGGUGAAAUGCUUAGAUAUGACAUAGAACACCAAUUGCGAAGGCAGCUCGCUACACGAAUAUUGACUCUGAGGCACGAAAGCGUGGGGAUCAAACAGGAUUAGAUACCCUGGUAGUCCACGCCCUAAACGAUGGAUACUCGACAUACGCGAUACACAGUGUGUGUCUGAGCGAAAGCAUUAAGUAUCCCACCUGGGAAGUACGACCGCAAGGUUG